Molecule: transfer RNA, 76 nt
Filed under: bacteria symbiont BFo2 of Frankliniella occidentalis
Lineage: Bacteria; Pseudomonadati; Pseudomonadota; Gammaproteobacteria; Enterobacterales
Description: tRNA-Pro
Rfam family: tRNA
About the family: Transfer RNA (tRNA) molecules are approximately 80 nucleotides in length. Their secondary structure includes four short double-helical elements and three loops (D, anti-codon, and T loops).
Source: RNAcentral
CGGCGAGUAGCGCAGCUUGGAGCGCAACUGGUUUGGGACCAGUGGGUCGGAGGUUCGAAUCCUCUCUCGCCGACCA